RNAcentral lists this transfer RNA (50 nucleotides) under Paragobiodon xanthosoma (emerald coral goby). RNAcentral's name for it is "partial tRNA-Pro". The record is from RNAcentral. Lineage: Eukaryota; Metazoa; Chordata; Actinopteri; Gobiiformes; Gobiidae.
UAUCUUAUUUAAAUAAGAUAAGGCAAUAUUAGCUAGCACAACGGUAAUGC